AUGUCAUCAUCAUGCUUGCUAGAAUUGUAAUAAUACAGAGAAAAUUAGCAUAGCCCCUAGACAAAGAUGACAUACAAAUUCAUGGAGUGUUUCAUAAUUAU
This 101-nucleotide small nuclear RNA is filed under the name Notamacropus eugenii (tammar wallaby). The record is from RNAcentral. Lineage: Eukaryota; Metazoa; Chordata; Mammalia; Diprotodontia; Macropodidae.